This 492-nucleotide ribosomal RNA is filed under the name uncultured bacterium. RNAcentral describes it as "partial 16S ribosomal RNA". It matches the Rfam family "Bacterial small subunit ribosomal RNA", at positions 38 to 507 of the family's 1533-position model. The record is from RNAcentral.
GGGGGGGGGGGGGGGGGGGGCGGGGGGGUGGGGGUCGGGGGGGGGGGGGGGGAGGGCGGGCUCGUGCGGGUGGCGGGUGGCGGGCGGGUGAGGAAUACAUCGGAAUCUACUUUUUCGUGGGGGAUAACGUAGGGAAACUUACGCUAAUACCGCAUACGACCUACGGGUGAAAGCAGGGGAUCUUCGGACCUUGCGCGAUUGAAUGAGCCGAUGUCGGAUUAGCUAGUUGGCGGGGUAAAGGCCCACCAAGGCGACGAUCCGUAGCUGGUCUGAGAGGAUGAUCAGCCACACUGGAACUGAGACACGGUCCAGACUCCUACGGGAGGCAGCAGUGGGGAAUAUUGGACAAUGGGCGCAAGCCUGAUCCAGCCAUACCGCGUGGGUGAAGAAGGCCUUCGGGUUGUAAAGCCCUUUUGUUGGGAAAGAAAAGCAGCAGGUUAAUACCCCGCUGUUCUGACGGUACCCAAAGAAUAAGCACCGGCUAACUUCGUG